GAUUUUUUCCCAGGAGUCUCUGGGUGGAUGGUGGCUUUCUUCUUGACUUUAGCUCUCAGUAUUGGAGCCAUUCCUCUGCUGGUGAUCCAAUAGAGAAGAAUGGAUGCCAUGGAGAGACAGUUUGAGCCUAUGGCUGCUCAGCGCCUUCGUGAGGAACUUGGUAAGAACUGUUUUCAUAACUUUAUUUGUAGAAUUACUGUAAAUGUUUCUGUCUAUCUAUCUAUCUGUCUAUCUAUCUACUCAUGCUGUCUGUCUGUCGCUGUGUCUGUU
This is a long non-coding RNA of Acipenser ruthenus (sterlet), 270 nucleotides long. RefSeq lists it as uncharacterized. NCBI's taxonomy places the organism in Eukaryota, Metazoa, Chordata, Actinopteri, Acipenseriformes, Acipenseridae. The transcript has 3 exons. The record is from RefSeq and is a predicted model, not a curated record.